This 373-nucleotide ribosomal RNA is filed under the name uncultured bacterium. Its description in RNAcentral is "bacterial SSU rRNA". It matches the Rfam family "Bacterial small subunit ribosomal RNA", at positions 521 to 896 of the family's 1533-position model. The record is from RNAcentral.
UAAUACGGAGGGUGCAAGCGUUAUCCGGAUUCACUGGGUUUAAAGGGUGCGUAGGCGGAUAUGUAAGUCCGUGGUGAAAUCUCUGGGCUUAACCCGGAAACUGCCAUGGAUACUAUGUGUCUUGAAUGUUGUUGAGGUGAGCGGAAUAUGUCAUGUAGCGGUGAAAUGCUUAGAUAUGACAUAGAACACCAAUUGCGAAGGCAGCUCACUAAGCAAAUAUUGACGCUGAGGCACGAAAGCGUGGGGAUCAAACAGGAUUAGAUACCCUGGUAGUCCACGCCCUAAACGAUGAUUACUCGACAUACGUGAUACACAAUGUGUGUCUGAGCGAAAGCAUUAAGUAAUCCACCUGGGAAGUACGACCGCAAGGUUG